GUAGGUGAACCUGCGGAAGGAUCAUUAAAGAGAUAGGGUCUUCAUGGCCCGACCUCCAACCCUCUGUUGUUAAAACUACCUUGUUGCUUUGGCGGGACCGUCUCGGUCUCCGAGCGCACUAACCCUCGGGUUGGUGAGCGCCCGCCAGAGUCCAACCAAACUCUUGUAUUAAACCAGUCGUCUGAGUAUAAAAUUUUAAUUAAAUUAAAACUUUCAACAACGGAUCUCUUGGUUCUC
RNAcentral lists this unclassified non-coding RNA (237 nucleotides) under rhizosphere metagenome. RNAcentral's name for it is "partial ribosomal RNA internal transcribed spacer region". The record is from RNAcentral.